This 752-nucleotide long non-coding RNA is filed under the name Pogona vitticeps (central bearded dragon). Its description in RNAcentral is "lncRNA (ENSPVIG00000022541.1)". The record is from RNAcentral. Lineage: Eukaryota; Metazoa; Chordata; Lepidosauria; Squamata; Agamidae.
UAUUUUCUUCUGGAGGUAACCCCCUCUGUGUGUGUGUGUGUCUGUAGGUGCACCAGUCAGCCCAUCAAUGGGCAUAAUCAGUAGAUCCUCAGAGAGAAGCUCUUGGAAAUGGGUAUCCUAGUGAGAAAAUCCUCAGCAGUUUCAGUUCAGUCAGGGCAUCUCCUUCGCAGCAGCAGCAGAAGCAGCAGCAGAAGCAACGGCAGUGCUUCUGGUACUCUGCAGGCCACAUCGUUCAUACCUUAUACAUCACUACCAUAUUCUUUGUAAUAGGAGAGCCUAAUACAGCAUUUCAUUGCCUACAGCCCCCAAGCUUCCACCAGGCAGUUGCAUUUCUGCAUCUGAACCUUCUUAAUCAUCCCUGCAGUCCUCCAUCUCAUCAGCAGGCUAUUUGUGUCUCAGCAGGAGCAGCAAAAGAAGCAUGUUAUCACCUGGAGGUUAGACUCACCCUGUUCAUUAGACAGUGCCUCUGCACAUUUAUGGGGGAAAUCACUAUUACAACAGGACUGUCAAUAGCAAACCUGGACCACAUAAAAGAACUCUUCACCUCCCUUGAAGCAGCUUGAAGAUUUUCAUCAUCUUCCUGCUUCCUCCAAAACUUCUUCCUGAAGACUGGGAUCAGCUGCUCCUCUUUGGGUGGAAGAUUUAAAUAAGGACCCUCAGGAUGUCUCUGCUUGUGAUGAGGUGCUGUUUGCUGGAAAGCUGGAUUGCCAGAUGUGCUGAACCCUCUGAUAUAUAUACUUUGGAAUGAAUGC